This 244-nucleotide small RNA is filed under the name Pongo abelii (Sumatran orangutan). RNAcentral describes it as "retained intron". The record is from RNAcentral. Lineage: Eukaryota; Metazoa; Chordata; Mammalia; Primates; Hominidae.
CUCGUGCCAGACCCCUGGGGCUGGGCAGGCGGAAAGAGGUCUGAACUGCCUCUGCCUCCUUGGUCUCCGGCAGGGGGAGAAGCGAGCGGACAUCCAGCUGAACAGCUUCGGUUUCUACACCAAUGGCUCCCUGGAGGUGGAGUUGAGCCUCCUGCGGCUGGGCCUCCGGGAGGCAGAAGAGAAGUCCCUGCUGGUGGGGUUCAGUCUCAGCCGGGUUCGAUCUGGCAGAGUUCACACCUAUUCA